UGGAUGUUUCCUUUUACUCGUUCCGCACCACGGAUUAGGUUAUACGGAUGCGCAACUUCGACAAUUUUUAAAACUCGCCUAUCACGCAAACACCAGAUGGCACUAUAUGCAGUUAACAAAAUGGCGUCUGGAGGAUCGACUUGUUCCGUGUCUUUUUGUAAAAAUUUUAAGAAAAAAAUAUCCACAUCUGUCGUUUUUCCGAUAUCCGAAAGAAUCUGAAUCGAUUUUUCUACAAAGCAAAGACGACCUCGGCCGCAGUCUAGUUGUGUCAAAACUUUUAGAGAGCACCUCAUCACUUUUGUUUCCAUCAGCUGACCAAUUUUCACCAAUAAAUGUAAUAUCAAGAAAACAUUUGAAUAAUUUCAAUCUUUCAACAAUCCAUAACUAGUUUGAAGAAAGAUCAGCAACAUCAUGUCAAGCAAAGAGAGAGAUCAACAUCUGUUUUUCAGAAAAUGUUUGAAGUUGAUUGAAGCAUCAAUUACAGGAGACCAAUGUUUUAAUAGAGAUGUGUUUAAUAGUUUCUGUUUCUUAUAUCAAAAAGUAGUAAUGGUAACUAACCUAUUGUUUUCAGUCGAGUAUAAUCA
Molecule: long non-coding RNA, 584 nt
Filed under: Androctonus crassicauda
Lineage: Eukaryota; Metazoa; Arthropoda; Arachnida; Scorpiones; Buthidae
Source: RNAcentral